UAGUGAUUUAUAAAGGAAAAAAACAUGCUUCUGACAGGAAAUAGCUAAGUUCCUCAGUCUAUAGUUCUUUAAACAAAGCAAUCUGAGAUUUAGCUGGGGGUAAGUAUCACAACUGCGCAGAGCACCUUGUCUUCAUACAAUUCAGUGACUCUCCAUUUGUAGGCAAAGAUAAGCCUUGUUCCUGUUUUGUUUAGGAGGGAUAUAUGCAAUGACAUGAGAAGCAAAACUAUUUUCCAUAAGAUUGUUUUAUUUUGGUCAUUUUAUUUUCCUAUCAGAAUCAUGUACAUGCAUAACUACUGAGACUUUGUUUCAUUGCAAACCUUUGCCACCACCAGCAUGUUCACACAUAAAUGAAUGCUCCGCUUCAUGAAAAGAGAAAAUAUGGUUCUGGAGUUUAAACAGUUGUGAAGGUUUUACCACAGCCUUCUCUUCGCCAUCAGCAUACAUCCCUUUUGGAGGCACGAGUUUUCAUGUGCUGCUUAAGACAAUCUUUGCAUUUGAAUGUUUCCAGAGACAUAUUUCACAUGUUUCCUCUCAUGCUUCAUGUGAUACUGUCUCUUUGGGUUUCUCUCACAUUUCAAGAAGCUCUGUCCAUGGUUUUACCUCAGAGGAAAGUCUUGUCUGACACACAGAACCCUCUGAACCUUUCUCCUUCCUUUCCACCUGCUGGGUGAAGCAAAGUGUCUCCCACAUCCUCCAUGGUUUUCUUGAAGAGUGUUUCACCAAUAUACUGGCACUGAAAAAUUUUCAGCUGCAAUGUUUCUUAAAGCUCAUGUUCCAAAGUUCAAAAUUACGUACACAUUAUUUUUACUGAUUUGAUUCUGUUUUGAAUUUUUGACCACAGCCAAUAGCUGCAGAAAUGGCUUUUCUUCUGUGUGAAUCAAGAUCAAGGGACAGAUGGUAGUUCCUGAUGAAGGUUUUGCCACACCCCUCAUAGUCACAAAAAAACUGCCUCUUCCUCACCCUGUGUGUUUGCCCAGCAUGCUUUUAGAUUCUAGGUCCUGUAAUUGGCAAUGACAUUGGGGAAGAAGGGGAACAUCUCUCAGGAACUGCAGAGGUGAUACAGGGUAGGGCUGGGCUCUCACAGUCUAAGGGGAACUACACUGCCUGGAUCACCCAAGCAGACAGCUCCAGGGCAGUAGCUUCUGCACCAAGGAUGGACACUGCCUGCUCCAGCCCUCAGGACGAACUCCAGAUGCAACCUGAGUGCACUUUCAGGAGUGGCCCAGGGUUGGGUGUGUGGGAGUUGAGUCUUUUUUAUAUCUUCCCUAAUUCUACAUAACAUAAAGUCUAAUUCGGCCUUUCCUGUAGCUUGUUAAACAUAUAGAGUACAAUUAUAAUACAAGAUAAAACUUUCAUUUAUAAUACUCCAUCUGUGUCUUUUGGGGGUAUUUUUCUAUCAGUUGAUUUUCAUUUUAUUGUGGGUUGUACUUUUCAGCUUAUUUGCAUGACUGUAGUUUUUCAUCAAAAACAGACGUGAGGAAUUUUAUCUCAUACUGCAAAUUUUUGUAUUCCAGUAAAUACUACUGAGCUUUGUUCUGGGGUGCGGUUAGAUUUCUUGGAUAUUGUUUAACUCUUCAGGACCUUUAUUUAGAGCUGUUUUAGGUGGAGGCAGAGAAGCCUUUAGAUUAGGAUGAAUUGUGACUCCUACAGAUUCAAAAACUUUAUGGAUAUUAUUCUGAACAAAUUUUGAAGCUUUCUAAUUUAGUUCUUGGGAAUAGGAUUGAUUCCCAGUCCCACGUGAGCUUGGGGCUUUUUCUCCUUAAUACUUUCAUAAAUUUCUUACUAGGAAUUGUUCCUCCUAAUCUUUUUUGUUGUUGUUGUUUUGUUGUUGUUGUUGUUGUCUCUCGUAUUCUGCCUUGCUAACAAUUGCUGCCUUGGUCUCCUUGGUCUCCUAGAUUUAUCUUCUUAAAGAGACAAGAAUACUAAGUUCCACAUGGACUCGCCAUCCUCAAAUCGCUGGCUGCGUACUUUCUCCAUGCACUUUCCUCUCUACCUCUUGUACCUCUCAUUGGCUGAGCCUACCAUGGAGUCAGAUGGCAAUGAUGAAUGUGGGGUGCAGAGUGCCAGCACCAGCAUCACAGUUUCACAAGGAAUUGGAGACCAAGGUCCCACACUGAAAACAAGAAGUUGCUACCACUUCAAGACUGCUACUGUACCAGGGAGGUGGUGUGAUAAAGGCAAGUAAAAAAACUGAGAAUUUUUUGUCAAUUUCAACUUGCCUUUUCUUAACAUUCACUUGAUUGACACAAACAUUUGACUGUUUUUUAGAAUUUUGUCAAAGUUGUUUCUAACGAUUCAUGCUUAUUUGUUGCUUCUUCUGGGGAUGAAGGAGAGAUUGGUAUUGCCUACUCUACCAUUUUGCUGAUGUUAC
This 2374-nucleotide long non-coding RNA is filed under the name Homo sapiens (human). Its description in RNAcentral is "HSALNT0328587". Lineage: Eukaryota; Metazoa; Chordata; Mammalia; Primates; Hominidae. The record is from RNAcentral.